UGAAGUCAUUUCUUGCCAUUAUAAAUUUUAAUAUGUUAUAUUCUUGCCUGCAACAACUAGUUAGGAAUAUUUAAUGUUGCUAGAAAAGAGAGGAGGUGUAUUGAACUUUUUCAUUCUCUUUAGCACAUCAUUGCAUCAGGCACAGCUUGUAAAGAUAGUUUUAAAAUUUGUGCUAUGACCAUAUUCAGUUAAAUCUAGCACUACUUCGCUUUCAAAACAAAUUGUUUUGGUCACCCUACAUAGAAAACAAAUUAUUCUGGUCACCCUACAUAACUUGAUGUAGCCUUCCUUUUGUACUAACAGUUUGAGGCAGUGAGAUAUGUGCUAGCAUGUGAAAUGAAUUUGAUGUAGGCUCAUGUUUCCUUCAUUAAUGAUCAUAGUUGCAGUUUUGCGUAUACAAUGUGGUGUCUAGGUUCAGGUUUGUUUUGGUUACAAAGCAUCAAGAGUUCAAGACAAAAAUGGGAGAGGGUCACUAUAAGAUUUGAUAAAUUUGUAGAGAAUUUUUUGGAAAAUAAGAGUAUGAUAUGCUGUAGGCGUAACUGUCAAUUAGUGGAGACAUAGAAACAAUAAUUUGUUUAUUUAUUAGAGGAAUUUGUCAUAAUAAAUAACUCCCUUAGCUAAUUUGCUGUAGUAAAUAGCUUUCUGGGCAUAGUCCCUGGAAUUGCCAUGUGAAAAUUGAUUUGGGGUAUUCUUAAUGCUAUGGUUUAUUCUUGAA
This is a long non-coding RNA of Ananas comosus (pineapple), 715 nucleotides long. RefSeq lists it as uncharacterized. The transcript is spliced from 2 exons. The record is from RefSeq and is a predicted model, not a curated record. Lineage: Eukaryota; Viridiplantae; Streptophyta; Magnoliopsida; Poales; Bromeliaceae.